This is a long non-coding RNA of Gallus gallus (chicken), 994 nucleotides long. The record is from Ensembl. Lineage: Eukaryota; Metazoa; Chordata; Aves; Galliformes; Phasianidae.
AGAAGACUGCUCCGUCCAGCAGCAGACACAGAGAAAGAUGAUGGCCAACUCUCAGGAAACCAGAUCUCCCCUAAUCCCCAAAUUGUGUCUCCUGGGGAUCGUUAACCAAACAUCUUGUCCACAGCUUAAUUGCAGCCAAUUAUGCCAGCAGGGAAAAGUGCACCUUCAUUGUCUGGACACAAAGCAAAGCUGAGCAGGAGAGCUGGAUCAAUCUACUCAGAGAAAAUGUAACAAAUGGGGCUUUAUUUUCUCAGAUCACAGCCAUGCAUUUCCAGCACUUGGGCUUUCCAUCGCUCUCAUAGCGUUUCUAUUGAAUGGGGUCAGAUUCAGGCGUCCUCACAGGGAUGACCUUCUGAUCUCCACCUCUGCCUCUCUUCGUAGCUGAGUGCAAAAAGCUCUGCGAAGAGCUCAUCCUUACCCCUGCAACCAGCUGUCCCACCAAGGCUGCUUCCUGGGACCAGCUCCAGCCUGAACAUCUCAGCCCAUUCCAGCUGGGCCAAACCAGCUCUGCCUUCCCAAAGCUGCUCUCAGCUCCUCUCCCAUCUGCUGCUCUCUGGCACAGAGGCAGCAGCAAGGCAGAGCCUUGGGUACCUGCCACCAACCCCGUUUUGCAUUCAAAGCCAUCUCACAUGUUGUCUUGAGCGCCCACUCAGCCCAGAGCAGCUGCAAUUCCAAAAAAACCCCACAGAAGUGGCAGAAGAUGAUACUCAAGGCAGUGUUAAGCACAAGUGAUCGGGCUGUGCACCAGCAAAAGCUCCCAGCUGCACAGUCCUCAGCUUCUCUGCUACAAUCUUAAGAGAGAAACUGCUAACCCUGCACUGACUUCGAGCUCAUUUGAAUCAAGUGUUAAUAAAGCCUCCUUCUGAUGUUUUUUCUCCUUCUCCCUUUUGCAGUCUAUUUCUUCUCCCUCAGUUUUCUCUUCUUUCUCCCCCUGCCCUUUUCCCCUAAGAAAUGAGCUAAGGAUGAGAAGUAUCUGUUUUCUGUUUGCUCUGUG